AAUAUUGCACAAUGGGGGAAACCCUGAUGCAGCCAUGCCGCGUGUGUGAAGAAGGCCUUCGGGUUGUAAAGCACUUUCAGUAGGGAGGAAGGUAGUGUAGUUAACACCUGCACUAUUUGACGUUACCUACAGAAGAAGCACCGGCUAACUCCGUGCCAGCAGCCGCGGUAAUACGGAGGGUGCGAGCGUUAAUCGGAAUUACUGGGCGUAAAGCGCAUGCAGGCGGCCUGUUAAGUCAGAUGUGAAAGCCCGGGGCUUAACCUCGGAAUUGCAUUUGAAACUGGCAGGCUAGAGUCUUGUAGAGGGGGUAGAAUUUCAGGUGUAGCGGUGAAAUGCGUAGAGAUCUGAAGGAAUACCAGUGGCGAAGGCGGCCCCCUGGACAAAGACUGACGCUCAGAUGCGAAAGCGUGGGGAGCAAACAGGAUUAGAUACCCUGGUAG
RNAcentral lists this ribosomal RNA (440 nucleotides) under uncultured bacterium. Its description in RNAcentral is "bacterial SSU rRNA". It matches the Rfam family "Bacterial small subunit ribosomal RNA", at positions 360 to 793 of the family's 1533-position model. The record is from RNAcentral.